GAGGAUGGGGGAUGGUUGCCAGGAGAACCAACCCUGUGAUUAGAGGGCAGAACUUUCAGUCCCAUCCCCUGAUUUCCAGGGAGGGGAAAGAGGCUAAAGGUUGAAUCAAUCACCAGCGGCCAAUGAUUUAAUCAAUCGUGGCCAUGUAAUGAAGCCUCCAUAAAUACCCAAAAGGAAAGUGUUCAGAGAGCUUUCAGGUUGGGGAACACAUUGGGGUUCUGGGAGAGUGGUGUGCCUGGAGAGGGCAUGGAGGCCUGCACCCUUCCCACAUACCUUGCCCUAUGCAUCUUUUCCAUCUGGCUGUUCCUGAGUUAUAUAUCCUUUUAUAAUGAACUGGUGAUCUAAGUUUCUCUCAUGUCUGCAGUUUUUAAAAGUAACCAGCCCAAAAUAAUCCUCAUGCCAAAGAGACAUAUCUUGGAGUGGCCAAUUCCAGUCCCCCACAUAAGGGCAGCCUGCAUCCAAUGACUGAUCAGUAUAGAACUACAAGGGCCCAGGCACCUAGCCUCAAUUCUGAACAGCUGUGAAGGGCGAUCUGCGCUCCAAAGCCUGUUGUGGAAUCAGAGGAGUAAUCUGUUGCAAAUCCAUCACAGUUCACCUUCUUCCUCUGUUCAAUCCUACCCCGAGCUUCCUCUUGCACAGGUGUUUCCUACUCUUUCCCCAGUCAACCUCCGGAAUGCGAAUUUCCCUCUUCGAGUCUGUUUCUCAGGAACCCAAUAUAAAACACUGGUGAUGUUGAAUAACAUUUUAAAAUAAAAACAUGUCUUUUAGAUGUUUUACAAGUAUGUAUUUUGCAGUUUGCAUCUAGUGAAAAAUACAACAAAGAUGUCAGUCACCCUGUCUCACAGAAAUAAAAGUCUGAGUAGCUAAAUAAAUACAUAAAACCACUUACUGUAACUUUGCUCAUAGAAUCGCAAAGCUGGGAAUGACCCUCUACUCUCCAAAUGAGUGAAAUAACUAAACAAUUUAGCAUGCACUAACAUAACCAGAGGACCAAGAAUAGAAUUUGCCACCCCAAAAUUUUCCUCUUUGCCAUAGGGAUUAUUUUGAGCUGAUGAUUAUUAAGAAGCAGCAGACACCGGAAAAGCUCUGAAAACCUAGUGGAAGUUACCCUUUGUAAAAGACAUUUACAUCUGUAAGGGAAAUCUCCAUUUGUAAGGGUGUCUCUCUCUCUGUGCCAGGAAGAGGAGGAUGACUCUAAAUCUCUAGAAACUCUUAUCAAUGGAGAAGGCCCCUAACUUAAAUCUGCAUAACAACCUUACAGGUUCCUUACUGUGCUUUUCCUGGUCACCUCCUGUAGCUGACCCCAUCUUAAAAGAACAUUAAAUCUGUUUUUCAGGGGCACGGAACCAAAAGCUGAGCACAUGCAGAAGAGAAAAUUUUGGCCUGCCAAUUGAAUGUCAUUCUGCCAGUGAUUCUGCAUAUCAGCGGGCCCUCCCUAAUCCCUUAAACUUGACCCCAAACCUUGGAUGAGGGAUACAGUUGUCAGUCUUGCUUCCUGUCUCUUUGCCAGUUGACCUCACAAUAAAGCCUUUUCUUUUCUCAAAAGCCAGUGCCAUAGUUUUGGCUUUUAUGUGCAUUGGGGAGUGAGCCCUUGCUUGACACUAACACCAUAAACUAUUUAUGCAAAAUUUUAAAAAAUAAUGAAUUGGAGCUAUGUUGAUUGACUUGAUGGCAUUUUAUGAGCUCUUGCUAUGAAAACAAAGAUGUGAAGAAACACGUAAUAUAUAAUCUCACAUUUAAAGCAUAGAAUGAUAAAAGCAAACCAUAU
Molecule: long non-coding RNA, 1768 nt
Organism: Equus caballus (horse)
Lineage: Eukaryota; Metazoa; Chordata; Mammalia; Perissodactyla; Equidae
Source: Ensembl